Long non-coding RNA from Pelodiscus sinensis (Chinese soft-shelled turtle), 1115 nucleotides. RefSeq lists it as uncharacterized. NCBI's taxonomy places the organism in Eukaryota, Metazoa, Chordata, Testudines, Trionychidae. The record is from RefSeq and is a predicted model, not a curated record.
UUCCUCCCACCGUCGUCUUACCAAUAGGGAUGAGUUUAACCCCCACGCAGCACCCUCUCCUCCCGCAUGCAACUAUCCUGCAUUUGCAUUAACCCAAUUUGCACUGCGUUAACUCAGGAGCAGAGGCUGAGGGCAGUGUUCCCGCUGAAGAUUUUCCGCCCAAGAGCAGAGUGAAUUUUGUCUCGUGCACCAGUAUUGAAGUCAAAGAAAGCAAGUCCCAGCGCGUGCCUCUGGAGACACACCCAGUAAGUUCCCGGCACACCACAGACUUGGGGCAAGGAAGCAGCCAGCGCAUUUCCGGAACCCCCAGAAGCGACGCGCAGCUGCAGGACUUCCGUCCACCCCACGGGAAGGUGCCAUUAGCUCCAGUGUCACUCGAGUUUUUGGAACUAUCAUGGAAGUAUAACUCCUUCUGAACAUCAACAUCAUCAAUAAAGCAAACAACAAUAUAUGAUAACAUUAAAAAACAAAUGCUGUAUUUUAUGCAUUUAAAAUGGGGGUGGGGAACCUAAUGCCCAGGGGCCAGAUGCAGCCCCCAGCUUGCCUGGAUCUGACCCCCAAGGCUUGGGGCUCCCCUCACCAUUGGGGAGCCCAUGCUGGUGAGGAGUGGGUUUUUUUGUUUCUCACUCGUGGGCAGUCCCUGACUGAUUUUUCUGUGGGUCAGUGGCCCCUGACUCUAAAAAGGUGACCCACCCCUGAUUUAGAAUUUACAAAUACAGAUGUAAAAUCAGGUUCUGCAAAUCUUAGUUAAUUCAAAAACUUCCAUGCUCAUCCCUUAAUUAUUUCCUAAUCUCUUACAUCUUCCUGUCCCAUUUUUUAAAAAUAUUCAAAUUAGCCACUAGGUGUUCACACUAAUCCACUAAUCAUGUAGAUGAUAACAUUUUUAUCAACUACAUGAUUACCGUGUUUUAGCAUAGAUAACCCGCAGGUUAUGCAAAGUUUUACAACUCCCCCACCCCUGCAAGCUAUACUCGUCUUCAUGUAAUACAGGGGUUUUUUUACUUCGGUGACGGCUGAGGUGCCGAAUCAGAAUCGCUGUCGUAGCCUGAGCAGCUGUCACAGGGAGAGACCAAGCAGGCAGAGCAGAGGAAGAUGAGAAUUCAGGGAAGAGGUAA